UUAAACGCCACGAGGAAAUUUGAUAUACUUUCCGUCAAAAACUUCUCGCCGCCGCCGCAGUUCCGCCGUGACAACGAUUCAUGCAAAUCGAACGAAAUAGCUUCCAAAUAAAUAAAAAAUAUAUCAUGAACCACAGAUAAUAACCAAAGAUAAUGGAUGCCAAGUACUGAUUGUUGAAGGACAUUGCUUCACAGUUCAUCGCAAAAGGAACUUAGGAGGUGUUACAAAAGUGCGAUGGUUUUGCUCAAAACGUAAUAAAGGAUGCAAGGCUUUUGUAUAUACCAUUGACGAAGAAUUAAUAAUGAAACCUAUAGUUCACAAUCAUUAGAUAUUUCUAAAUUACAGCAUUAAUAAGAAUACACCAAUCAAUAUUUUUAUAAUAAUUUUGAAUCCCAAAACCAUUGAAACGUAUUUUCUCUUUUUAGUAUUGCUAUCAUUGAACUAAAUAUCCGCAGUUUUAGUAUUUCCACGUAGAAAUAAUGUAUUCUGAUCUUAGUCUUAUUUAUUUUCUCUUAUUAAAUAAAAACAUUUGAGAUUGACCUAUUGGUCAGAUUUUUGUAUGUGGUCUGUUUUUAAGUUAUUCAACUAAUGCUAUGCUUUAGACCAGUUAAGCCUUUUUUUCUGUCAGCAUACAACGCCUAAUGAAUUUUAAUCAACCCUCUCAAAUAAUACCGGUGUAAUAAUAAUAUGAUAAUUACCUUUUCCUCUUAGAAGCAAAUUCCGACAGAGUAUUUUACUAUUACGGAAUCUUCAACGAACCUAUUUCCUAUUACUAUUGCUACUUGGACUAUUUCCUAGUACUUUUUCGGUACAAAAUAGUCAUGGAAUCUUUGUUGUAUGAGUUAUCAAAAGGUAUUUAUAUCUAGUGUAUUGUACUCCACAAAUCUAUUUAUACAGAAUAUUGAAUAAAAUUCAACCAUUUAUGGUACAACUGCCAAUAAUUUAAUUAGUCCGAACAAGGCUGUCCGGAAAAGUAGUAACUGCUAAUCGGUGAUUUAUUUGUACUGCAAAGUUGUACGAAAAUCCUUUCCUAUCAUCAUCGUCUAAUAAUUUUUUCUUUACUUUAAUAAUUUGAUUUGAUUGACUGUACCCCAAUUUUUUUUAUAUCUAUAAAUAAAUUUCAUACACAUCAAA
Molecule: long non-coding RNA, 1134 nt
Organism: Leptidea sinapis
Lineage: Eukaryota; Metazoa; Arthropoda; Insecta; Lepidoptera; Pieridae
Exons: 2
Source: RefSeq, a predicted model, not a curated record